This 23-nucleotide non-coding RNA is filed under the name Arabidopsis thaliana (thale cress). Lineage: Eukaryota; Viridiplantae; Streptophyta; Magnoliopsida; Brassicales; Brassicaceae. The record is from RNAcentral.
AUAAAGGGAAGUGAAGUACCCUA